This 395-nucleotide ribosomal RNA is filed under the name uncultured bacterium. RNAcentral describes it as "partial 16S ribosomal RNA". It matches the Rfam family "Bacterial small subunit ribosomal RNA", at positions 338 to 730 of the family's 1533-position model. The record is from RNAcentral.
CCUACGGGUGGCAGCAGUGAGGAAUAUUGGUCAAUGGACGGAAGACUGAACCAGCCAAGCCGCGUGAGGGAUGAAGGUUCAGAGUAUUGUAAACCUCUUUUGUCCAGGGACAAAGCUGGAGACGCGUCCUCGGAUGAGAGUACCUGAAGAAUAAGCAUCGGCUAACUCCGUGCCAGCAGCCGCGGUAAUACGGAGGAUGCGAGCGUUAUCCGGAUUUAUUGGGUUUAAAGGGUGCGCAGGCGGGUUGUUAAGUUAGCGGUCAAAGGUCGGGGCUUAACCCGGGGACCCCGUUUAAUACUGUCAAUCUAGAGUUGGAGUGAAGUAUGCGGAAUGUGCGGUGUAGCGGUGAAAUGCAUAGAGAUCGCGCAGAACUCCGAUUGCGAAGGCAGCAUGCC